Molecule: non-coding RNA, 304 nt
Organism: Pelobates cultripes (western spadefoot toad)
Lineage: Eukaryota; Metazoa; Chordata; Amphibia; Anura; Pelobatidae
Source: the annotation of a GenBank genome assembly
GGAUUGUUAGCAAAAAAAUAUAGAUUGGGUGAAAUACCUAUUUAAUAAUAGUUUUACACUCACCUGUCAAUCAACUCUUCGGUAUAGACUCCUGUGCUCAUGAACUCCGUAAUGGAAACAUCCUGCUCUCCAAUAAGAGAAAACACAGCGCAUGAGCUUUGGUUGCUAAGUAUCCUCCCUAGUCAUUGUUGCUAGCGCUAGUUAGGAAUUGUAGGAUCAGAGGCCAGCAUGCUGACAAUGAAGCCAGUGUGUUGGAGUCAUGGUGAAGGCAAGUGGUGGUAUGCCACAAUGGCUAGGGGCCAAG